CGGAGGCGAGGCUUUCGGCGGAAGUGAACUCUCCGCCGCUUCGAGCCUGGGAAGAUGCUGCGUCGUGUGUGGCGGUGGCUGUGCUUCGGCCUGGGCAGCCUCCUGGCGGGGCAGGCGGAGGCCCCGAGCCCCGUGGAGCCGCCGGAGCGGAGCAGGCCGUAUGCCGUGCUUCGUGGGCAGAACCUGGUGUUGAUGGGAACCAUUUUCAGCAUCCUGCUGGUGACCGUGAUCCUGCUGGCAUUUUGUGUCUAUAAACCCAUUCGGCGUCGGUGACAGCCGAGCAAACCAGUUCUUCCACGAGUAUUUGAGAAAAGAAUAAAUUGUGUUGCACGUGGGUCAUUGGAGAAGUUGGAAUCAGCACCUUCCUGCUUGGAGAUGACCUUCAGUCUGGACUGUUGUCAAAUGUGAAAUGAUUUAGAAAAAAACAACUGGCAGUUAUUUUUUCCUAACACUGUAAUGCAAAUAAUUGGGUCUGCUUCUCAGUGUUUCUUUUUGUACCUGGCUGCACUUACACUUGUUACAAGGAAAACCUGAAGCUCCAGGUUUCGUGUAGAGAUGAGAAGACAGUAACUAUGUGAGCAGUGUUAAAACCACACUGGGAAGGUCUGAAUGUUUGAAAAUACUCAUUAGAAGUAGACUUAACACGUAGACAUUCCCUUCUUAGAAGAACCAUUUGGUCACAGUGGGGUUAAGAAUCGCAUAUGUUUUUAAUCACACUGAGUUGGCCUAGAAUGCUCCGGUUGCAGAGCAGUGUCAGCUGUGGGGAACUUAGGCUGUCACUCCUCAUGCUGCAUCGACUCUGCACUCAAAUGCCCCCGUUCAGGUCAGGGUCACAUCACGUAGGCCUGUGACCGCACGCACCUUCGGCUGGAAGGUUCUGAGUUAGACUGGAAACGUUACUGGUUGGUCUAUCUGAAAAAGAGCUCCAUCCCACCGAAACACAUUGAUCUCCCUUGGGCUGCGCUUAAGUCUUUCUAGGUGGUGGCCUAAAACUUGUGGCAGCUUUGCAGAUUUGGAACCUAAAAGAAACUCAGCAGGAACUCUUUUUAGCCCAGGGUGAGGAGGUUCUCAACCAACAGAAGCGUGUGUUCAUUGUAGGAGGCAAAGUGGCAGGUGGGUGUGUGUUUGCACAGAUUUAAUUUCAACCUCGAAAACGCUGCUAUUUUGCACUGUUAGACUGGAUUUUUUUUCCUAUUGAAAUGAUACAAAGUGGUUAUCAGUAUUUAUUUUAAGGGUGCUAAGUUUAAUUUUUUUAUUAAAUUGAAAUGCUUACCUUGUACUUCAGUCACAGCACUGAUUUUUUUUUAAUCUGCACUAAAUGUGAAAUAACUAAUGUGGGAUACUGUAACUGUUUGACUUAAGGAUUUUGUUUGUAACCCUGACGUUGAGCCAUUGAAUGUUCACUGUUGAGCAAAGUGUCAAUUAAAGUAAACCUUAACAUGCUGUUUUA
This is a long non-coding RNA of Lynx canadensis (Canada lynx), 1450 nucleotides long. RefSeq lists it as uncharacterized. Lineage: Eukaryota; Metazoa; Chordata; Mammalia; Carnivora; Felidae. The record is from RefSeq and is a predicted model, not a curated record. The transcript is spliced from 2 exons.